Molecule: ribosomal RNA, 411 nt
Filed under: uncultured bacterium
Lineage: Bacteria
Description: bacterial SSU rRNA
Rfam family: Bacterial small subunit ribosomal RNA
Source: RNAcentral
GAUGAACGCUGGCGGCGUGCCUAAUACAUGCAAGUCGAACGAGGUACUUGGAGUCUUCGGACGAAGAGUGUCCUAGUGGCGAACGGGUGAGUAACGCGUUGGUGACCUGCCCCGAAGAGGGGGAUAACAGUUCGAAAGGACUGCUAAUACCCCAUAAGCUCACGAGAGUUAGAGGUCUAGUGAGAAAAGGAGAAAUCCACUUCGGGAGGGGCCUGAUACCCAUCAGAUAGUUGGUAGGGUAAAAGCCUACCAAGGCGAUGACGGGUAGGGGACCUGAGAGGGUGGCCCCCCACAAUGGAAAUGAAACACGGUCCAUACACCUACGGGUGGCAGCAGUAGGGAAUAUUGCUUAAUGGGCGAAAGCCUGAAGCAGCAACGCCGCGUAAACGAUGAAGGCCUUCGGGUUAUAAA